This is an RNA transcript of Archocentrus centrarchus (flier cichlid), 788 nucleotides long. It is a transcript of the gene named von Willebrand factor A domain-containing protein 8-like, with no coding region annotated. The transcript is spliced from 3 exons. The record is from RefSeq and is a predicted model, not a curated record. NCBI's taxonomy places the organism in Eukaryota, Metazoa, Chordata, Actinopteri, Cichliformes, Cichlidae.
GGAAGCUGACGGGACUAGCAGAACAAGAUGCUCUGUAGCCGACGUCAGUGUAAGCUAUGUUAAUGAACACAGGUGCUUACUGUUGUGUCUCACAGGUUGAAGGAGAUUGAUGUGAGCGAAUACGACGCCGCUACAUACGAGCGCUUCUCCAGCGCCGUGAGGAGACAAGUUCAGUCACUGCGCAUCAUCCUGGACAGUUUACAGGCUAAAGGGAAGGAGCGGCAGUGGUUAAAGAACCAGGCUCUGGGAGAACUGGACGACACUGAAAUCAUAGAUGGACUAACUGGAGAGAAGGCUGUCUAUAAACGCAGGGGAGAGCUGGACCCAGAGGGUGUGUGUGUGUGUGUGUGUGUGUGUGUGUGUGUGUGUGUGUGUGUGUGUGUGUGUGUGUGUGUGUGUGUGUUUUAUUGUUGGGAAGAUGUUGGGAAGGCCUGGAUUUCUCUCUCUCUUCUUUGUGUGGUGGCUGCAGACUCACAGGAUAUCGGAUGGUGAGCCUGACCCAUGAGACUGGAGCUUAGACAACUACAGCAACCGGAUCAACAGCACAGGGUUUGAUAUUGCUCAUAGAGAAACAAUUUGCUGUGCUUUUGUUUUUUCCUGCUUUAUGGCAACAGGAUUCAGGAUUUUCCAUUUUUCUGAAUUGAACUAUUGAACUGAACUGAAAUGAAUCUGAGAUAUUCUGAAUUUUAACCUUGAACGAUGUCCUGUUCUCAUGUUAUUAUCUUAAAUUAAAGUGGCUUCUGUUAAUGUUCAAUAGGAAUUCUAAGCAAUGUGUGACCUACUUAAGA